This 253-nucleotide ribosomal RNA is filed under the name uncultured bacterium. RNAcentral's name for it is "partial 16S ribosomal RNA". It matches the Rfam family "Bacterial small subunit ribosomal RNA", at positions 524 to 776 of the family's 1533-position model. The record is from RNAcentral.
UACGUAGGGUGCGAGCGUUGUCCGGAAUUAUUGGGCGUAAAGGGCUCGUAGGCGGUCCAUCGCGUCGGGAGUGAAAAGCUGGGGCUUAACCCCAGUCCUGCUUUCGAUACGGGUGGACUAGAGGUAGGCAGGGGAGAAUGGAAUUCCUGGUGUAGCGGUGAAAUGCGCAGAUAUCAGGAGGAAGACCAGUGGCGAAGGCGGGUCUCUGGACAGUUCCUGACACUGAGGCACGAAGGCCAGGGGAGCAAACGGG